Molecule: ribosomal RNA, 253 nt
Filed under: uncultured bacterium
Lineage: Bacteria
Description: partial 16S ribosomal RNA
Rfam family: Bacterial small subunit ribosomal RNA
Source: RNAcentral
UACGUAGGGUGCAAGCGUUGUCCGGAAUUAUUGGGCGUAAAGAGCUCGUAGGCGGUCUGUCGCGUCGGCUGUGAAAACCCGGAGCUCAACUCCGGGCCUGCAGUCGAUACGGGCAAACUGGAGUGUUGCAGGGGAGACUGGAAUUCCUGGUGUAGCGGUGAAAUGCGCAGAUAUCAGGAGGAACACCGGCGGCGAAGGCGGUGGUCUGGUCGGUUUCUGACGCUGAGGAGCGAAAGCUAGGGGAGCAAACGGG